Molecule: ribosomal RNA, 406 nt
Filed under: uncultured bacterium
Lineage: Bacteria
Description: partial 16S ribosomal RNA
Rfam family: Bacterial small subunit ribosomal RNA
Source: RNAcentral
GAUGAACGCUGGCGGCAGGCCUAACACAUGCAAGUCGAACGAGUGGCGGACGGGUGAGUAAUGUCUGGGAAACUGCCUGAUGGAGGGGGUUAACUACUGGAAGCGGUCGCUAAUUCCGCAUACUAUCGGAUGGGCCCAGAUGGGCUUAGCUAGUAGGUGGGGUAACGGCUCACCUAGGCGACGACCCCUAGCUGGUCUGAGAGGAUGACCAGCCACACUGGAACUGAGACACGGUCCAGACUCCUACGGGAGGCAGCAGUGGGGAAUAUUGCACAAUGGGCGCAAGCCUGAUGCAGCCAUGCCGCGUGUAUGAAGAAGGCCUUCGGGUUGUAAAGUACUUUCAGCGAGGAGGCGUUACUCGCAGAAGAAGCACCGGCUAACUCCGUGCCAGCAGCCGCGGUAAUUC